GUGGCUGUGGCUCAAGUGGUAGAGCACUUGCCUGGCACACUUGAGACACUGAGUUCAAUCCUCAGCACCACA
Molecule: transfer RNA, 72 nt
Filed under: Ictidomys tridecemlineatus (thirteen-lined ground squirrel)
Lineage: Eukaryota; Metazoa; Chordata; Mammalia; Rodentia; Sciuridae
Description: Spermophilus tridecemlineatus (thirteen-lined ground squirrel) tRNA
Rfam family: tRNA
About the family: Transfer RNA (tRNA) molecules are approximately 80 nucleotides in length.
Source: Rfam by way of RNAcentral